Long non-coding RNA from Trichechus manatus latirostris (Florida manatee), 905 nucleotides. RefSeq lists it as uncharacterized. The transcript is spliced from 2 exons. NCBI's taxonomy places the organism in Eukaryota, Metazoa, Chordata, Mammalia, Sirenia, Trichechidae. The record is from RefSeq and is a predicted model, not a curated record.
UAGGAUUUUCUUGGCUGUAAUCUUUAUGGCAGCAGAUUGCCAGGUCUUCCUUAAGCAGUGCUGCUGGAUGAGUUUGAAUCGACAACCUUUAGGUUAUUAGUUGAGUGCUUAAUAUUUGUACCAACAGGGGUCUCACAUGUGAUAAUAGAGCCCUUGAAAUGUGGCUAAUCCUAAUUGAGAUGUGCUGUGGUUUUGACAUACACAACAGAUUUCAAAGAUUAUACAAGACAAAGAACGUAAACUAUCUUGUUAAUACAUUCUUAUAUUGAUUCCAUGAGUCAUGAUAAUAUUUUGGAUAAAUUGGAUUAAGUAAAAUAUAUUAUUUAAAUUAAUAUCAGCUGUUUAUUUUUUACCUUUUCUAACAUGGCUACUAGAAUAUUUAAAAUUGCAUAUGUGAUUUACUUUAUAUUUCUAUUGGACAUUGCUGGUGUAAGGAGUCUGUGGCCUCAGCUACAUGCUGGGCCAGAAGCAGCCUCAUCAGGAACCUCCAGUCUAUCUCUGUCUCUCCUUACCUGACGCAGAGAACUGCGCUAAUCUUCCUUAUCCUCUUUGUCAUCCUCAUCCUUAUUUGCCAUGCAAUGCUCGUAUCUUUUAAUUUUUUUUCUCCUUCCUCUCCCAUCCCACCACUGUUCACCUUUUUCCCAAUAGACAGCUGCAAGAAUAAUUUUAAUAUAUCUUUGAAUAUGUAAAUAAGGAAAGAAUACUCCAACUCUGUCUAGAUGUUCAAGAUUUGAAGAAGAGACCCUGAGAGCCAGGAUAUGUUUCUCUUCUCCAACCUGGUGUGGCUAUAAACUCAGACUGUCCUUCAGUGAUAAUUACCAAUUGUCAUCUUUCUUCUUCAUAAAACACUGUGUACAGUUUACUUUCUUAGAGCAGGAAGCUUAUCUGAAAAUGUUAAAAAAAAA